AGAUCAGACUGUCUCAUGAGUAUUAGGAUU
This 30-nucleotide non-coding RNA is filed under the name Cricetulus griseus (Chinese hamster). Lineage: Eukaryota; Metazoa; Chordata; Mammalia; Rodentia; Cricetidae. The record is from RNAcentral.